Molecule: long non-coding RNA, 449 nt
Organism: Brienomyrus brachyistius
Lineage: Eukaryota; Metazoa; Chordata; Actinopteri; Osteoglossiformes; Mormyridae
Exons: 3
Source: RefSeq, a predicted model, not a curated record
CUGCUGUGUUCGUAGCUUCUAUAAAUCUCCCACCAUGGGUGCACCUUGUGUUUAUGAGGCGGGUUUGGGGUUCGUUGAGUGUCAUUUGCAGUCCUGUCAAGAACUACAAUAAAAAGCCGUUUUCCGUUCCGCCAGUGAAAUAACUUGUUUGGCUGUGGUUUCAUUCAUCUGAGCUGCCAUCUGAACCACUUCAGGAACUGAUGACUAGGGCCCGCCUGACUAAGAGAAUCUACCUGAUAUUACUGAGUCUUUUUUCAGAAUGACAGGAGAACCUCCAGCUAGAAGAGUGAUAAAGGGCGGUUCACAGAAAAUAAAACCAUCCUCUGCUGGGAAGCUGCCUGCGUCUCCUUCAGGAUGCGCUUGCUGAUGAGGUCAGUCUGUGACUGUCACUGUAGCCACUCAGUCUCAGAUGUCACUCAGUCUCUAUGAAAGCCAAGAUGACUCGUAUU